GACGAACGCUGGCGGUGUGCUUAACACAUGCAAGUCGAACGGUAAGGCCCUUUCGGGGGUACACGAGUGGCGAACGGGUGCGUAACACGUGAGUAACCUGCCCUCAUCUCUGGGAUAACAGUCGGAAACGGUUGCUAAUACUGGAUAUGAGCUUGCAAGGCAUCUUGUGGGUUGGAAAGAUUUUUUUGGUUGGGGAUGGACUCGCGGCCUAUCAGCUUGUUGGUGAGGUAGUGGCUCACCAAGGCUUCGACGGGUAGCCGGCCUGAGAGGGCGACCGGCCACAUUGGGACUGAGAUACGGCCCAAACUCCUACGGGAGGCAGCAGUGGGGAAUAUUGCACAAUGGACGGAAGUCUGAUGCAGCAACGCCGCGGGCGGGAUGACGGCCUUCGGGUUGUAAACCGCUUUCAAUUGUGACGAAGCUUUUUGUGACGGUAGCAGGAGAAGAAGCACCGGCUAACUACGUG
This 466-nucleotide ribosomal RNA is filed under the name uncultured bacterium. Its description in RNAcentral is "partial 16S ribosomal RNA". It matches the Rfam family "Bacterial small subunit ribosomal RNA", at positions 28 to 507 of the family's 1533-position model. The record is from RNAcentral.